UACGCUAUCCAAAGAUGAUUGGUCGUUACGAUAUGAUAUCACACAAGAGAGAUUCUGGAAACGAGGCUAACAAAGACCGGCGUGUUAUACUGGAAAACGCGUCCAAGAGACAAGCCGUGGAGGGUCUCAACACUGCUGUGUACCAUGUGACCAAGUUGGAGUUUAAACCGUUAUACACCUGGGUCCAUGUCUUCCUGAACGAGACAGAAAUAUUUCAGGUUUGUUACCUU
Molecule: long non-coding RNA, 230 nt
Organism: Aplysia californica (California sea hare)
Lineage: Eukaryota; Metazoa; Mollusca; Gastropoda; Aplysiida; Aplysiidae
Exons: 2
Source: RefSeq, a predicted model, not a curated record